GUAUUCAAGUAAUCGCUGUAUUAACGUACAGAGGAAAGUCCAUGCUCACACAAACUGAGAUGUUUGUAGUGUUUAUGCUUGAUGAAAUCAUAAGUCAAGGCAACAUUACGAGGUUAACGGCAGGAGACAUCCCUAAGUCUACUGAUAGGGGAUUCUAUCCUUGAAAGUGCCACAGUGACGUAGCUGGAAUGGAAACAUUUCGGGUGGAACGAGGUAAACCCCAUAAGUGAGCAACCCAAAUUAAGGUAGGGGCAUCCUUUAGUAGGGAAUUCAACCGAAUAAGGGACAAGCAAUGAAUGCUUGUAGAUAGAUGAUUACACCGAAUGUACGAGGCUGACCUCCGUUUGUAGUACUGAGGAACAGAACAUGGCUUAUCGAA
This 379-nucleotide RNase P RNA is filed under the name Virgibacillus natechei. RNAcentral's name for it is "RNase P RNA component class B". It matches the Rfam family "Bacterial RNase P class B". Rfam says of the family: Ribonuclease P (RNase P) is a ubiquitous endoribonuclease, found in archaea, bacteria and eukarya as well as chloroplasts and mitochondria. The record is from RNAcentral. Lineage: Bacteria; Bacillati; Bacillota; Bacilli; Caryophanales; Bacillaceae.